Marmota monax (woodchuck) is the source of this 2982-nucleotide long non-coding RNA. RefSeq lists it as uncharacterized. Lineage: Eukaryota; Metazoa; Chordata; Mammalia; Rodentia; Sciuridae. The transcript has 2 exons. The record is from RefSeq and is a predicted model, not a curated record.
CUCGAUUCUUCUACUCACUGGGUAAGAAGACAUUUAUUUCCCCACAGCUGGGAUCCAUUGGUAUGAACACCCAGGCUGCUGGAAGCUUUGCUAACCAAGCACUUAAGGCAAGCCUGGGCUCCUCGGUGAUGCCGAAGGUGAAGGCCAUAACCACGGUUAAAAUCACACCAACACCAACUGGUAACAGACUUCAAGCAAGCUACAGACAGCCGAGGACUCCUCAUGUGAGCAGCAACAUACUGAAAUGCAGCCACAAGGACAAGCAACCAAAGGCCGUGGAACGUCUGCGUGCAUGUGAGGAGGGGACACUUCACCAAGGGCACAUGGUGAGCACACUUCCUUCAAGUCUAGCUUCCAGUGUUCCACUGGCCCUGUGAAUGGUAAGAUGAAAACCAUUCUAAACAAGCCCAUUUCCACAAGUGUCCGUAGGGUGACUGCAGUAUUUUGGGGGGCCAGCCCCACAGUGCUGGAUUUCAGAGUGGCUCAGAAGUCUCUGCCCUGAGGACGUGAUUUAUGGCUGCCUGCCCAGAGGAAGGAUAGUGACCAAGAGAGACUGCAGGGGGUGCACACUGCCGGUGGACCUCCCAAAGAGGCCCUGUGUACCUGGACAGCACCCUGUCCUCUUGUCUACUAAGUAAGUAGAAUAUAAACAUAGCACCAGGCCAUGGUGGAUAGUCCUUGGGUCAGAGCACUGAGCUGCUGCUUAACUUUACUGUAAAAGAGCAACUCUGGGGAGGGGCUUGGCAUUCUCCAUUAAGCAGGCUAGAUAGUUCUGGAGACACGACACAUUUGACCACUAGGUCAUGGGUGAGUGGCUGGCCGGUUCAGCUUCUUCUUCCCAUCGACCUUCAGAGGCCCUGGGUGUUCCUGGCUGGUUCACACAAUUGCCUGCUUGAUGUCUCUGAAGGCUCCUCAAACUCCAGUGUGCAGACCUGCUGUCCUGAGACUCUUCCCUUCCGCCAGGCUCCCUCCAGUCACCUUCCCCCUUUAAACUCACAGCAGCACUCUUCCUUCCUCUAGCUACUCAGACAAAAACCCACACCGGCACCCUUGUUCUUCCCUCUCACUGACCUCAGAUCCAAUCCAAGAGAAAUGCAGUUGUCUCUUAUUUCAAAGCACAUACAGAGCCCAGUGAGCAUCUGCAGCGGGCCCACGCUUGCCUGGACCAGCAUGACCUCUCGCCCAUUACUGCCAACAACCUCCGCAGGGCUUUCCUGGCUCUUCCUCGCUUGCCCAUGAAGAAUUCCAAACAUAGCUCCAGAGCAGUCCCUCGACACUGAAGGCGUGCCACUCUGGCUGGAAUCCCCAGCAGCUCCCAUGUAAGAGCAUCUACAAUGGCCCACAAAGCCCACUGACAUCCUGGUGCUGUCCCAACAUCUCUGCUCCAGGCCAUGAGGGUUCUGGCUAUUAGGCUCUGCAGUGCUCUCUGCUUCAGCCUGGACAAGGUGCUGUUCAAGGAGCCCUGCACCUACCCUUGGAGCUACUCAUCACACGACAGCCUGAACGCGGGGCCCUCAGGAGCCUCCGGCCUGCUCUGUGGUGUCCUUCUUCGCAUUUUUGUUCCGCACUAAGUAGCUCAUUACUUCUUGUUUGUUGACCAGCUGUUGGAAUGUAUGUUGCAGUCCGACAGAGGUCUGUGUUUUCUGUUCACAGAUGGGUCCAGCACAAGAGUGCCCUGUCUGUGGCAGACAGUAAGUACCUGUGACCGAAGGGCCGUCCAGACUUUCAUAUUCCUGGCAACAACCAACCCAGGAUCUGAAACAGCACCCUGAUUAAAGUGACAAUUUCCCCAAGACACUAAAGCAUUAAACUAAGUGACAAGUUCAUUACCUCCUCUCCAUGACAUGUAGGUGUUAUAAAAAAAAACUGUAGGACUGAUGUGAGAUCCAUGAGGAAGGAAGGAGGGACAUCAUACACUGUACGACAGUCGACCCAGGGCUGCCUGAGCCAGCCUCUCUCCACUGCGGGGUGUGCUCAAGUGCCCUCCCUCUUAGCGCAUAGGGAAGGCUGGGGAGAAAAGGGGUUCAAUGCCAGGAUCCACGAUGAGGACAAAGUGGCCCUGAGCAUGCAGAUCUGUUCCUUGGCUUUUACCCACCUUGGUGAUGGGGGCAAGGAAUGUGCUUUAGGGGCUACCUUAAUCUAAGUCUUAAAUACAGUAUUAGGAGACAAUGCAAGUUUUACUGAGAAAAAGUGAAUUUUUAAUUAUCUUGUGAAUCUACUUAGAAAAACACACACAAGCAAUGUUCACAACUAUAAAUUUAAACCUUUUUUGCACUAAAAAAAAAAAAAAACACAAAACAACAAACACAAAACCACAGGCAUGAACUGUAAACCUGUAUUAAUAUCAACUAGUCUUAAGGUUAACUCUUAGCAGUAAUUCAGUAUUUUCCUCCUUGGCAAUUGUAAUGUUUUAGCACCAAAUGAUCUCCCACAGAGGUACUAGUAACAACACUGGCUGCCAGUGUAAGGAGAUGUUUCCACACACACUCCUUGCACACACACCUUCCACUCACACCAACAAGGAGACAUGUGCAGAUGGUGUCACACGCUGACUCCAGGGCAAUGGAAACAAGACAGAGGCACGGGGGUCACACGACUUUAAUGUAGUGCAUUUGUAGAAAAGGCCAGCCUCCGCUCCCAGGCGUGCGCUUGUCCUCAGACUUUAAUGUCAUGAUUUAGAAGAUGCAGACGUUAUUGCCUAAAUAUUAUUCUAUACAUUUCCAUCAGUGUUCAGGAAAACACUUUAAAUUGCUACUUAAUUUACACCAUAGUGACUGGGUUACAGCUUUAGCUCAUUGGCAAUUUUGGAAGCAAUAUUUUUGAAAGCUAUGGAUGUCCCUGAUAUCCGCUUGAACCGGACCCCAUUCAGAGACAGUCUUGGCAGCUUACACACCUCCAUCUCCCACUGCACCAUGUUCUCUGCGUGCCCGUCGCCCUGGACGCAGAAGAGCAGGAAGCGCUCCCUCUGCUCAUAGUCGCAGU